Molecule: ribosomal RNA, 467 nt
Filed under: uncultured bacterium
Lineage: Bacteria
Description: partial 16S ribosomal RNA
Rfam family: Bacterial small subunit ribosomal RNA
Source: RNAcentral
GACUAACGCUGGCGGCGUGCUUAACACAUGCAAGUCGAACGGAAAGGCCCUGCUUUUGUGGGGUGCUCGAGUGGCGAACGGGUGAGUAACACGUGAGUAACCUGCCCUUGACUUUGGGAUAACUUCAGGAAACUGGGGCUAAUACCGGAUAGGAGCUCCUGCUGCAUGGUGGGGGUUGGAAAGUUUCGGCGGUUGGGGAUGGACUCGCGGCUUAUCAGCUUGUUGGUGGGGUAGUGGCUUACCAAGGCUUUGACGGGUAGCCGGCCUGAGAGGGUGACCGGCCACAUUGGGACUGAGAUACGGCCCAGACUCCUACGGGAGGCAGCAGUGGGGAAUAUUGCACAAUGGGCGGAAGCCUGAUGCAGCAACGCCGCGUGCGGGAUGACGGCCUUCGGGUUGUAAACCGCUUUCGCCUGUGACGAAGCGUGAGUGACGGUAAUGGGUAAAGAAGCACCGGCUAACUACGU